GGGACUACCGGUCAGGCUGCGGCGGUAAUACGGAAGGGGCGAGCGUUGGUGGGAAUUACGGGGCGUAAAGCGCGCGGUGGCGGCUUGACAAGGGAGGCGUGAAAGGCCUGGGCUCAACCCGGGGACUGCGCUUCAGACUGUUGGGCUAGAGUCCGGAAGAGGGUGGUGGAAUUCCGAGUGUAGAGGUGAAAUUCGUAGAUAUUCGGAGGAACACCGGUGGCGAAGGCGGCCGCCUGGUCCGGUACUGACGCUCAAGUGCGAAAGCGUGGGGAGCAAACAGGAUUAGAUACCCCUGUAGUC
RNAcentral lists this ribosomal RNA (300 nucleotides) under uncultured Olsenella sp. Its description in RNAcentral is "bacterial SSU rRNA". It matches the Rfam family "Bacterial small subunit ribosomal RNA", at positions 496 to 795 of the family's 1533-position model. The record is from RNAcentral. Lineage: Bacteria; Bacillati; Actinomycetota; Coriobacteriia; Coriobacteriales; Atopobiaceae.